Non-coding RNA from Caretta caretta (loggerhead turtle), 7284 nucleotides. The record is from RefSeq and is a predicted model, not a curated record. NCBI's taxonomy places the organism in Eukaryota, Metazoa, Chordata, Testudines, Cheloniidae.
GGGAUAAGGAAUCCUGUGUGAUCAGAUAAUUAGCGGGACUGGAGGACCCCCGCAGUGAUCUAGGCCCAGUACUAGACAGGGAUGGUAAAAUGGACAAGUGUUCAAUAAAUAUUUCUGUCCUGUAUUUGUAAAGAGUUGGCAUGGCAUAUCCAUAUCUUACAAUAUUAAAGAAAUACGUUCUAUUUCAACAGUAACUGUGGAGGAUGCCAAACAGCAUCCGCUAAACUUGGAGCUCGUCUACACUUGAAAUGGUACAGCGGCACAGCCGCAGUGCUUCAGUGUAGACACUCACUUCUGCAACAGGAGAGGUUCUCCUGUCACUAUAGUUAAUCCACUUCCCCCAGGAGAUGGUAGCCAGAUCGGCAGAAGAAUCUUUCAAUUGAUUUAGUGCUGGUCUACUCCAGGGGUUAGGUCCGCUUAACUACAUCACUCAGGGGUGUGGAUUUUUCACACCCCUGAGCGACGUAGCUGGGUUGACUUAACUUUGUAUAUACCUGACCUUAUACUUUUUAAAUAUGUAGGAGUGGGGCCAUGUUUACACUACAAACUUACACAAGUGAUGUUGGCAUAAAGCUGUCACAGUUAGUAUGGCACUUGUAUUCAUGCAUACUUGGCUUCUUGUGUCAGCGCUGUGCAUAUUCACCAGGAGUGCUUGUGUCAAUGCACAGUGCAGUGCUCCAUGGGUCGGUAUCCCAGUGCGCAACCUGACACCAUCCAGCACACUGUCUUUUGGAAAGUUUUGGCAAUACAUUGUGGGGCAGAAAGGAGUUGUUCAGGGGUGACUGGUAGCAAGGGGUUAACCUCCCGCCAUGCAACUGUCUCCGUCUCAUAAUGUCACUUAUAUCCCAUACUUUUCAGACCUUUUUUAAAAAUCCCACAAAGCCACACAGCCUUUCUCGCUGUCAGCCAUCUCUGACGGACUCUCCACUAUUGUCAUAAGCAUUACAAGGACAGGACAUGCAUUCCUCCAGUAUUUGUAGAGCUGCAAGAAGAACUGAAUGAGCAGGUAACAUGGUGAGUUAUUGGAGGACAAGCUGCUGCGGGACAUAGAAAGAAACAAUUCAAGGUUGUUGAUGGCAUUCACAGAGCAGCUGCUGCUACUGGAGCACUGCACCUGCAUGGGAUUGUAUUGUAAUACAGGUUUGGGAUGAGGAGCAUUGGCUGUAGAACUUUCAAAUGCACAAGGUCCCAUUUCUGGAUGUGAGUGCCGAGCUCGCCCCAGGACUCCAGUGCCGGGACACUAAAAUGAGAGUUGCACUGGCAGUAGAGAAGCUAGUGGCAAUUGCACUGUGGAAACUCGCAGAGCUGGAUUGCUACCAGUCAUUGGGAAAUCAUUUUGGAGAUGGAAAAUCCACUGUGGGGUCUGUUGUCAUGCAAGUGUGCAGGGCCAUUAAUCAUCUCCUGCUAUGUAGGACUGUGACUCUCGGCAAUGUGCAGGACGUAGUGGAUGGAUUUUCAGCAGUGAGGUUCCCAAACUGCGGUGGAGCAAUAGACAGCACACACAUCCCUAUUUUGGUACCAGACCACCUUGCCACAGAGUAUAUCAACAGAAAGGGCUACUUAUUUAUGGUUAUGCAAGCAUUGGUGGAUCGCUGGGGUUGCUUCACUGACGUCAAUUUUAGCCGGUCAGGGAAGGUCCAUGAUGCUCAUAUCUUUAAGAACACAGGACUGUUCAGAAAGCUACAAACAGAGACUUUCUUGCUCAAAUGGCAAAUUAACUACGGUGAUGUUGAAUUGCCAAUAGUGAUCCUGGAGGACCCAGCCUACCCCUUGCCCCCAGCUCAUGAAGCUGUAGACCAACCACCUUGAUAGCGCCAAGGAAAGAGUCGACCACCAGCUCAGGAGGUGCAGAAUGACAGUUGAAUGUGCUUUUGGUAAAUUGAAGGUACACUGACGUUGUUUACUCACAAAAAUGGAUCUCGAUGAAAAACAAAUCCCAAUGGUUCUUCCUUCCUGCUGUGUCCUGCACAUUUGUGAAGCAAAGGGGGAAAAGUUGCCACCAGGAUGGAUGGUUGAGGUGGAGCAGCUGUCUGCUGAGUUUGAACAGCCAGACACAAGGGCUAUUAGAAAAGUUCAAUGCAGAUCUAUACGGUUCAGGGAGGCUUUGAAAGAGCUCUUUAAUGGUGUGGAAGGGGAACCCCUUAAGGCCGCAACAGCAGCAGCUACAGAUAAAACAUACAGAGGUACCAUUGUCAAUAUAGUCACAACAGAAAGUAAAAGUUAAGAUUCAGAGCUCCCUUCCCUUGCUCCUCUAAAGAUUUAAACAAGACAUGCUUAUUGACACUUCUGCUUCAGAAUGCUUGUGCACGUCCCCACUCACAGCACCAGUCGUGGUGAGUAUAGCUUACCAGGAGUAAGGGAAAUGAGGAGGGAAUUGUUUAGUUGCAUGCUACUAUGAGUACUAAGCAGUGGCACUGAAUACUGGCACCAUUUUCCACAGGCAGAGUUAAUGUUAGCUGAUAACUCACUCCUGAGUGUAACAAAGGCAUAGAGAACACAGCUGCUGCUGGUAUCCCGAAGCUGCCUGGGCCUGUAUGCUGCUAGCCUGUAUACUACAAUGGUGCCUGCCAAAGUUGCAGCUAACUAACAUGGGAAAGUGUCCUUCCCUUGAGGAAGAAGUAAUGCUGCCAUCCCUAGAAACCUUCAGGAGAGGAUUGCAGAGUACCUCUAUGAACAUUUCAUCAAAAUCUCUCAGAAGGAUUCAAGGGACCACCCCCAUGUACACAGUGGCAGCCUCUUGUCUGAUAGGAGGAGGAGCAAUAUUGCUCAGAACUGGAAGCCAUGGGAGUGGAGUCGGAUGCAGGGUGCUGGAGAUGAUACGCAUGGCGGCAUGUAACUGCAUAUCCACCAGUUAGGUGUGUGAUGAUCGACUCCAAACUGGUGCACAGUACUCCACCACCGAAUACGAGGUGGAAAGAGCUGACGUCCGCAAAGUUGGAGCACGAGUACCCCAUGACGAACCUGCCAGUUUGCUAAGACGAUUGUUGCACUGUUUUCUUCAGAAACUUCUCUUUUGGGGCAAGAGGAAGUUGUUUAACAUUAACCACAAUAAUUUAUCCAAGUUAAAAGGGACUGUUUGGGUGAGUUACUAUUUAUUAUUUGCAUUAUGGUACUGCCUCAGGAGCAACCGAGAACAAGUUCUCAUUGUGCUAGGCACUGUACAGAGUACUAGACAGUCCCUGCAGGGAGGGGAGCAUGCAGGGCAGGCAGAAGAGACAGAAGGGGGCAGAGGUUGUUGGAGUAAGCAGCUGAAGGGCAGAGUCCGAAAGCAGAAAGGAGUCUGACAUCCGUGUCCACAAGUCCCUGUUCCAGCGACUUCUGCAUCUGCUCCUGCAGGCUUAAGAAUUUCUCGGCCUCCUCCCUUUCCUCUCCCCUCCCCGCUCCAAGCUGGCUCCUUCCUGCAGUUUCUUUUCCCCCAAACCCACAUGGCUCAGGUGUGGGGGUGCUGCACAGGUCCUGUGGUCCCAGAGCUGUAAUGAUGAAUAUGAGAAAGAUAAUGAAGAGGUGAGGAUAAUUUCCAGGAGUUGAAGGUAAGGAAAGUGAAACUGAAAGGAUUGAACACACAGACGUGAAACUGAAUGAUGCCUUCCUCUGAUUAUGUUAGGUUGGACUUACUAGUAUCAAAUUAGAAAAUGUUCAAAGUGAUACAAUUAAAAUAAGGAAUUUUUUCAGAAGUCAAAUACUGCCUGUUCUCCCCCUCGCCCCACUUUCCAUUUUCACAGCACAAGCUGACAGUUACACCAGCAAGAUCAUUGCAUAUGGCAUGCUGCAGAUAAUAAAAAGUUGUUUUACCCAUCGAGAUAAUGUACACUUUGGCAACAUCAUUUCUCAAAUGCCCAGUCCUUUGGCUGUGGCUGCACUGAUCUUUCACUGGGCUGUGCACUUCUUAACUCAGCUGUGGCUUUUUGCUGACUUUUGAUUCCUCAGGCUCUUCCUAUACUAGCCAACAACACUCUGAAUUCAGCGCUGGAAGCAUCUUUCACUGGAUUCUUCUCCUUUUAGUUUCCCCUUUAGGGUUAUAGUAAAAUCCCCAGCAAUCCUGGGAAGAGCUUUUAUUUAGUUUAGAAUGAAAUAUGGUCUCCACUUUGACAGCUCAGAAGCAGUCAAGCUGCGUUUCUGCAGCAGUAAACAGUUGUGUAACUGCAAAUUGCUCUUCACAGGUACUAGCAGGACACCAGAACAUUCUUGGAAAAGUUUGAAUUUCAGAGUAGUGUCCCAACUGAUCCAGGUGUCUCUCAAAGGCCAGAAGAGCUUACAGGAUCUUUUCAAGAGGGUCACAGUCAUUGGACUAAUUUAGAAGCCUCAUUGAUAAAGGGUGACUUAUAUUCUGGAUUUACAAAGGAAAAGAAAGAAAUAUUCCUGGCAUCUCCAACUCUAGAGCCGAAAUGGGGAAAAAAGCAGCUGACAUCACCAUAAGGAGGGAGAAAUGAUCUUCAGACGGACAGUGCUAGAAACCCAAUUGCUAAUCUAGGGUCAUUCAGAUUUCACCAUCAAGGGCCACGUUAUCAAUUGCCAGGAACAUGAGAGAGACAGGUAAUUUGCAUCUAUAUACUUUUACAACUAAAAAGUAAAUGUACUCUAGUAUUUGUGUUUUUAUCUUCCUGAGUAGAUUAACAGAAAUUUCUUCCUGGCUGAGUUUACCUGCAAUGGAAAAACAAAACCGUUCUUAGAAGGGAAAAGCAGAAAUGAGAUUUGGCCUAAUAGAAUUUGUAGUGUCCAUGAAUGUACCUCCAAGCUCCUUUAUUGCAACUCAUAUCUAGGAAUGAAGCUUCACAUCUGGAAAAUCAUCAACCAGUACAAAAUGCAGUUGUCUUCUUAGUGAACACAUCACCCCAGUGUUCCUUCCUCUGUAUUUGGUCCUCACUGAAUAGAGUCUAUUUCAAGGUAUCGGUUCAGAUAUUCAAAACCAUCCAUGCAAAUGGCGCUGGCUACCCAAGAUGUCCACAGUGUCCACAGUGAUGACGUCCCACAACAGAUGCUUUCCACAAAAACAAUGAAACUGUUGACCAAUAGUAGGAGGCUCAUGAGUGUGAGGGACAGAACUUUCACAGCAGCCAGAUCUACACGAUGAAACUCACUUCUGCAAGAGAUGAGUGACACCAAGCCUCACCCUAUUCAGAACUAAGAUCUUGUCUACAAGAAAGUUGUACCAAUGUAAUUAAGUUGGUUUCUAAAUGUAAAUCUCAUCUCUUCAGUUUAGUUUCCCUUCAAUAAUUUCUUCACACACAAAUGGAUACCCAAGACACCCACUCAUGCACGCAAACUGCCUAUAAACUAAUCAAAUUAUUUCUCUUACAGGCUGGGAAGGAAGAGAGACUAUUGUUAUCCUUUCAGUUUGGGAGGCAACAGAUGCUAAGGCAAUGGGGUUUAGAAAGUACCUAAAUAGAAAGGUAGAUCUCCCAAUCCAAGUGUGCAUCCACACUAGGAAGAAAAGGUGUUUUACCAUAUAUUAGCUAACGCAUGGUAACAUCCUAGUGUGGACAGGGCAGUCUUAGUUCUCACAUGUUAGCAGGUUGAGGUAAAUGCUAACUAGGGGAAGCCUAAAGCUAAUAUAUGGCAAAAUACUCCUUUUUUCCUAGUGAAGACAAGGCCUAAGAUAAAUUAAACUGGAGGGUAGCCAAAGCUGCACUUACUCCACAUUCUCCACAUUGAGCCAUUAGAGCACUCUUUUGGGACUCUUCUUCUAACCCCUCUUCACCAUAAAUUGCUUUCUGUCUGUCCUGGUUCUCAGCUUUUGGUUACGGAGCAAGUUGGAAGUUCAUUUGUAUUUAGAGUUUUUAACAGCUGAAGUCCAACCUAAGCCUCUCAGUUCAAGCCUUUACUGCAUUUAAAAAGGGGAAGUAAAAUCCCCAAAAGAAGUCCCUUGAACAUUGACAGGGAAAGUGAAAACUUAUAAAUAACCGAUUGCUUGGUACUAAGUGCAUGGAUGAACCCAGUAAGGACAGAUGCUGUGGUUACUGAUUUAUGGCUAUGGAGGACUUAAGAACAGUUCCAAUGUCAAUGGAGUUUCAGACAUGCUAAUAGCAGCUCUUUGCUGCUUGCUGCCCAGAAGCUGCUUGGCAGGGUCUCAUUUCACAUUAAUUAAUUUUCGUCUGAAAAUUGUGUUUUCUGGCCUAAAUUGAUGGUUAUAAUUAUUAUUCCUCUGAAUUAUUUCUAAUAUGAAAUGCAGCAACCGUUUAAUAGUUCACAGAAACAGUAUACAGCAGUUUUAGAUCAGAAACAAGGGAGAAUCUGCAGAGGACUUUAAGGAGGUGGAUAUCUUGAUUCUCAUUAAGUUUAUUACACUCCAUGUUUUAAUCUUGUCUUUAGUCCUUGAAUUCGUACUUGUGUUACUGUAGACCACCCAUGAUACACUAGCUGAAGGUUCUGUGGAGAUAACAUUACCAUGUAUUUUUGAGGUAUGUAUUGGUUUUUUCAAUUACUUUUCAAACCAAGUCAGAGAAAGGACAUCAUUCACCAGGGUUAUCACCUUAAAUUUGAAAUAUAUAUUGGUACAUUUGUGUAAACAUCACAUGGGAGACACAAGAAGAAUUGGAGUGUUGCCAUUUUUAGGACACAGUGAAAGACUUCUUUUUGUGCAAAUCUGUUCACAGAAACAGAGGUCUACAAUGAUCUGUAUGUUCUCCAGGUGCGGAUUUAGCCUUUUUAGGGUUCUGGAUAAAUCAAGGGAGGAGAGGAGAGUUUAGGCCAAUAUAGGGAGAACCAGUGUGAAUCUAAUUUUUGUUACAUGACACCUAGAGAGGUAGGGGAAUUAGAAGUAUAGACAGCAGACUUUCAGUGUCCUGCAUGCAAAUCUCAAUGGUGCCCCCUGCUGGUUUGGGUUGGUUUCAAAAGGUUUUGUUUAAGGCAUCUUACAUCUAGAGCUGGGUAAAUAAUUUAUUUUUUGGUUCAACCUGCAAACCGAAAAAUCAGAAACAAUAGUUAGAUAGAUUCCAAAAAUGUUCAGAAUUUGUUAGCAAAUAUGUGUGUGACCUUUAGACGAGUGCAGGGGUGGCCAACCUGUGGCUCUGGAGCCACAUGCAGCUCUUCAGAAGUUAAUAUGCGGCUCCUUGUAUAGACAGGCACUGGGGCUGGAGCUAUACAUGCGAACUUUCCAAUGUGCCGGGGGUGCUCACAGCUCAACCCCUGGCACUGCCACAGGCCCUGUCCCCACUCCAGCCCUUCCCAUCCCCUCCCCUAAGUUUGCUGUGCCCUCGCUCCUCCCCCCCAGCCCCAGCCUCCUGCACACCACGAAACAGCUGAUCGGGAGGUGGGGGAGGGAGAGGGUGGCGCUGAUCAGCAGGG